AGAUCAACCGCAGAGUACUGAAGAAGAAUCCUCUUAAGAACUUGAGGAUAAUGCUCAAACUGAACCCAUAUGCCAAAACAGCAAGACGUCAUGCCAUCCUCAAGCAUGACCCGGCGAUCAAGGCUAAGAUGCUGAAACCCAAGAAGAAGCCCGGAAAGAAGGGAGCACCAGCCAAACCCAAGGCAUAAAUUUAUACAUAAAGACUGGAGUUCAGUGAUAAUAAUAAAAACAUUGGUUUCAAA
Long non-coding RNA from Seriola dumerili (greater amberjack), 242 nucleotides. RefSeq lists it as uncharacterized. The transcript is spliced from 2 exons. NCBI's taxonomy places the organism in Eukaryota, Metazoa, Chordata, Actinopteri, Carangiformes, Carangidae. The record is from RefSeq and is a predicted model, not a curated record.